CGAGGUCCCGCUGUCCAUUGACGGACCUAAAAACAUGGCCGCCAUCGAGGGCUUAUAAUCUAACUACCGAGCAAGACUUUCUAUAGCAGAAACCUCCAGUUAUGUUCGCGGGAUCUGGGCGCAAUUCGUACCCUUGAUGCCUCCAGAUCUGAGCUACCGAACGAUGCAUGGAAUGAACUAUAUUCGCUUUAUAAUGCCUAAGUUAUAUAUUUUUAUACUGUUUGCUGGAACGCAAUAAAGCAUGGUCUUUUGGGCGCUUGGAGAUAAUCAGAUUGUAUAACCAUUGGCCCCAUUAUCUCCAAGCUGGGCGGGUAUUAGUUUAAAUGAUACACUGUACUGUGAUUGGUCGAAUACUUGUACUGUACCUGUAUCCCAUCGGGUCCAUGGGGGGCUGUCCCUGGACCUGGGGACGUGCAUAAAUUACCAUGCUUGUGUGCCAGUAAAGCCUCAACUCGCAGCCUCGACUCGUGUUGUAGGGAUUCGGGAAAACCUAGCGUAGUAUAGCUUAUGGACCAUUUUAUACUUUUAGCGUUCUACCGAUUGUAAUCUCGUUCGGCUAGACCGGAGGCAAUCGUAACAGCGCGUAAUUCCAGUUCCUGCAUUCCUGCACAUGCUCAGUACAUUGAUGACAGUAUCUUAGCUACGUGUAACUAACUAACUGAUACUACAAACACAUGUACCUACAUAUGCCACGUGGCAAUCUUGGCCUACUAAACUUUUAUUUUACUGGAAUUCCAUCACAUCCCCCCUUUGAUCCUUCUGAUUUAAAAUAAUUCCAGAUGCAUCACCAAUCAUAGUUUGCCAACACCUCUCAAGUAGCCAUGAACCAGAACAGACCUCGUAAGCAUCCUUGGCAUAUUCUUUUAGCAUUCCCCAUCCUGAAUAUGCUCUCUCUGGGCUAAAGGUUCAUAUUUACAGACAGCCAUUACAUGGGCAGCUGUUUUCCUCUCAAUAGUGCUGUCUAUAACACUUCAUAUGGACCUGACCACUAAUGGAAUUAAGCAGGGCAGAAUGAGACACAUGAAUAUAAUAAAUACUACUCCUCCUCCUAAUGCCUUAAUCCCUCCAAGCUGCUCAUACCAACUUCCAAACCAACUACUUGGGUUAUACCCACUCCAGAUCUGAGUAGGUACAUGCGCAAGUUUAAUCAUGUGACUGGUAAGUUCAGCCACUGCCCGCCCUUCAUCGUCUAUAUGCAGGAAACAGUUACUUAGAUUAAACUUCCCGCAUACACCUCCCUCUACUGCUAAUAAAUAGUCCAGAGUUAAACUAUUUUGAUAGAUGGCUGAUCUCAUUCGGGUAUUAUGUUUAGCUAGGAGAUUGAGCGCUUGUGCUGUCUCAUUGGUGAUAAUCUCAACCACCGCCUGUAGUCUUAUAAUACGAUUAAGCAUAUAUAGGGGUUCUAUAUCCAUAAGUACCAUCUUCUGCCCAAGUAACUGGUCCAUAAUAAUAAUACAUUGGGGAGGCCACUCAUCAUCUUCCAAGCUACCUAUAUUCAAAGAUGCUCGCUUCGUUUUAUGAUUCACAUCAUAAACCUUAACUCCCAAGGUCUCUCCUGUUUCAAUUGGCAACAAGAAGGAUGGUUUGCGCACACCUAGAACACAUGCCCCUUCCCAGUCUUGUGGUAACUCAGAAUAUGCCUUCUUAUCACAAAUCCAAUAUAAAUUUGCUGGGGCUUUCCAGUUGGAUGUAGCAGAUAAAUUAAACCAUACCUCUUUCAAAUUAGUGUAAUUGACAAAUGGAUUAGUAGGUUCCAAGACAUUUGAAGCUGACCACCAAGUAGUAUCUUUUGUAUUAUCAUUAUAAGCCUUUUGUCCCAAACAUGUUAACUCACCUACAGAUGUGUUAUACAUUAUCCCUUUCCUAGCUACACAAACAUGACCUAUAAUAGAUGUUUUUAACCGCCAUCCUGAUUUACCUCUAGUACUCGUUUGACGAUCAGACUGAGAAAGUAUCUGUUGUUCAUCUGUCUCAGAACCAGGGGGACAUGCUUCCUUUGCUUCCCAUGGCCACUGGUCUCCCAUGUUAGUACCUCCACAUACAAAACAGUUAGUUACAUUAAAGGACCACUCUAGGCACCCAGACCACUUCAGCUUAAUGACAGCCACUAGAGGCGCUUGCGUGCUUCUCACUGUGAUUUUCACAGUGAGAGCACGCCAGCGUCCAUAGGAAAG
Molecule: non-coding RNA, 2174 nt
Organism: Pelobates cultripes (western spadefoot toad)
Lineage: Eukaryota; Metazoa; Chordata; Amphibia; Anura; Pelobatidae
Source: the annotation of a GenBank genome assembly